Molecule: ribosomal RNA, 256 nt
Filed under: uncultured Glomus
Lineage: Eukaryota; Fungi; Glomeromycota; Glomeromycetes; Glomerales; Glomeraceae
Description: partial 18S ribosomal RNA
Rfam family: Eukaryotic small subunit ribosomal RNA
Source: RNAcentral
AAGCUCGUAGUUGAAUUUCGGGGUUAGUAGGUUGGUCAUGCCUCUGGUAUGUACUGGUCUCACUGAUUCCUCCUUCCUUAUGAACCGUAAUGCCAUUAAUUUGGUGUUGCGGGGAAUUUGGACUGUUACUUUGAAAAAAUUAGAGUGUUUAAAGCAAGCUAACGCUUGAAUACAUUAGCAUGGAAUAAUGAAAUAGGACGUUCGAUCUAUUUGUUGGUUUCUAGGAUUGACGUAAUGAUUAAUAGGGAUAGUUGGG